GAAAACAAAUUCUACAAAGAACUUGAAAGACGUUCUUUCAGGCAGGCUGUGGUGGCUUUUUUAGAUGCCCCUUCUGCAGGAAAGGCUCUUGACAAUUGGCGGAUUCAGGACCUCAUCCAGUUCCCGUGAGAAACAGCAGCUGCGUCCCAGCUGAAAACACAGAGAAGACAAAGUUCUAUAUGGCUGCAGCACAGCAUCAUCAUUGCUCAGGAUGCCCUACUUGCCCUAUCUCAUGGCUGACCCUUCAAGACCACUGAUGGGUCGCCAACCAUCUCCUCCAUCUGGGUGUCACCUGGGAACUCAACCAUUCCCAUCAGCUAAUGUUGAUCUGGGACCUCUGACAACUCCUCAACUCCAGUGCCCACUAGGACCUCAAACACUUUCUGCAGCUGAUGAUUGUCUAAAACUCCAGGCAGCUCCACUACUCAGGUGUCCUCUUGGACCUCAACUACUUAUUUUACUGGAAUAUACUCAGGGACAUGGAUGA
This 487-nucleotide long non-coding RNA is filed under the name Callithrix jacchus (white-tufted-ear marmoset). RNAcentral describes it as "lncRNA (ENSCJAG00000083159.1)". Lineage: Eukaryota; Metazoa; Chordata; Mammalia; Primates; Cebidae. The record is from RNAcentral.